RNAcentral lists this ribosomal RNA (253 nucleotides) under uncultured bacterium. RNAcentral's name for it is "partial 16S ribosomal RNA". It matches the Rfam family "Bacterial small subunit ribosomal RNA", at positions 524 to 776 of the family's 1533-position model. The record is from RNAcentral.
UACGAAGGGGGCUAGCGUUGUUCGGAUUUACUGGGCGUAAAGCGCACGUAGGCGGAUCGUUAAGUCGGGGGUGAAAUCCUGGAGCUCAACUCCAGAACUGCCUUCGAUACUGGCGAUCUUGAGUCCGGAAGAGGUGAGUGGAACUCCUAGUGUAGAGGUGGAAUUCGUAGAUAUCUGGAGGAACACCGGUGGCGAAGGCGGCGUUCUGGACUGCAACUGACACUGAGAGACGAAAGCCAGGGGAGCAAACGGG